Molecule: transfer RNA, 29 nt
Filed under: Ambystoma jeffersonianum (Jefferson salamander)
Lineage: Eukaryota; Metazoa; Chordata; Amphibia; Caudata; Ambystomatidae
Description: partial tRNA-Pro
Source: RNAcentral
CAAGAGGUAGUUUGAUCCCAAGAAUUUUG